CACGGUCUGAUCCCCGAGCUCGCUUCCGCUGAGGCAUCGCUCCACGACAUCCGGCUGCGCCUCGAGGUACGCCACGAACGGGAGCCUCUCGUCGGGCUCGAGCGGGUGCCUGACGAGGGCGUUGAACACGGCGGCGGCAUCCUUCCUGGAUUCGAAGAAGAGCUUCGGGAGGUGGAUGACGACCGCCGCGAGGAGCCCCUCGGAGGCGAACACGGCCUCGGCGAGCUGCGAUUGAAGCGCGGGAUCCGGCGGAUUCUCGCCGUCGCCGUACAUGACCGCCCUCAUGUCUCCGAGGUACUUGCCGCACGAUUCCUGAUCUUUUUCAGCCCCCGAGUCCUUCAGGUGGUCGAGUGCAUUCGCGAGUUUGAGCGCGAGCUCCUUGGGCGUGCGUUUGUGCUUCUUGAACAAGCUCGUCAUCGCUGCUCCCUGUCGUCACCCGUCACCCCGUGUUCACUCCUUCCCUUUCUCUGUUUCCUCAGAUCGCCUCGCAAUCGACGGG
This 499-nucleotide long non-coding RNA is filed under the name Micromonas commoda. RNAcentral's name for it is "long non-coding RNA (MCOM_LNC000204)". Lineage: Eukaryota; Viridiplantae; Chlorophyta; Mamiellophyceae; Mamiellales; Mamiellaceae. The record is from RNAcentral.